GGCGCAGACCUUCACCUGAAAAGCAGUUUUAAAAAAAAAUUGAAGAAGCCAAAAGGCUUCUUUUCCUCCCCACACUCCACCCACUCGGUAGCUCCACUCUGGCGAACUUUUCGGCCGGCCAAGGCUUUAUUUGGUUGGAGUCUACACCCCACUUCAUUGGCUUAUAGAAAGAGAAGGGAUUAAGGUUCAAGUGUGAGUUGUGAAUCAAUCCCAGAGUAGAGUUUGAUUUCUUCAUUUGGUGCCACUAAACUAGUUUCAAGGUGAGUUUGCUUCUGAUGUAGGUCCUCCAGAUCAGCAGGAGAGGGCGUGAUCGUGGUGGCCUGGGUGGAUGAUUGACUUAUGUUUUAGACUUUGGAUGUUUGUUAUUUGAUUUGGAUAUAUAUAUAUAUGUAUUAUGAGAUUGUUUCUCUGGAUUUAUGUUGGAGGACCAGGAGGCUGCUUGGGAUCAUUAGGACUGCUGUGUCAAGUAGUAUGGAGGUGGUUGUGGGCCCUGAGGGUCUUGGUUUCGAUUGUUUUGGAUUAUGUUUGGAUAUUAUGUUAUCCUUGGAUUUCUGUCUACGUGCAGAGUGACAUUCUUCAAUUUAUGGGGAGAUGCUGUCCAAUUUUCUGCUUGAUUAUUAUAAGUUUCUAUGUUUGUUA
Tripterygium wilfordii is the source of this 639-nucleotide long non-coding RNA. RefSeq lists it as uncharacterized. Lineage: Eukaryota; Viridiplantae; Streptophyta; Magnoliopsida; Celastrales; Celastraceae. The transcript is spliced from 3 exons. The record is from RefSeq and is a predicted model, not a curated record.